Molecule: ribosomal RNA, 536 nt
Filed under: Parahelle sp. SLW-2002
Lineage: Eukaryota; Metazoa; Arthropoda; Insecta; Diptera; Acroceridae
Description: partial 16S ribosomal RNA
Rfam family: Archaeal large subunit ribosomal RNA (bases 397-536)
Source: RNAcentral
UAUCAAAAACAUGUCUUAUUGAUAUUAAAUAUUAAGUCAGGCCUGCCCAAUGAUUGAAUUUAAUGGCUGCAGUAAUUUAACUGUACAAAGGUAGCAUAAUAAUUAGUUUUUUAAUUGAGGACUAGAAUGAAAGGUUUUAUGAAAUAUUUACUUUAUUAAAUUAAUUAAUAUAAUUUUAUUUUUUAGUUAAAAAGCUAAAAUUUACAUAUAAGACGAGAAGACCCUAUAGAUUUUAAUAAUUAUAGUUAAUAUGGUUUAUUUAGAAUUAAUUAGUAGUAUUAUUAUAUUUAUUUUGUUGGGGUGAUAGUAAAAUUUAAUAAACUUUUAUUUAAUUUAGACAUUAAUUUAUGAUUUAUUGAUCCAUUUUUAUUGAUUGUUAGAUUAAAUUACCUUAGGGAUAACAGCAUAAUUUAUUUGGAAAGUUCAUAUUAAUAAAUAAGUUUAUGACCUCGAUGUUGGAUUAAGAUAAAUUUUAGGAGUAUAAAUUUAAAUAUUAAGUCUGUUCGACUUUUAAAAUCUUACAUGAUCUGAGCUCA